RNAcentral lists this unclassified non-coding RNA (334 nucleotides) under uncultured Actinomycetes bacterium. RNAcentral's name for it is "uncultured actinobacterium contains 16S-23S intergenic spacer region". Lineage: Bacteria; Bacillati; Actinomycetota; Actinomycetes. The record is from RNAcentral.
UCCCUUUUAGGGGUUCACCGAUAUGAGCUGGUGUGUCCACGGAGGAUUGCUCCUCCGGGGGCCAAUCGUCGAUUAGCCAUGCAUCACCUGUGUAGGGCCCUUACGGACACCGUAUUUCUACGGCUUUUCCCUACAUGUCAAGCCCAGGUAAGGUUCUUCGCGUUGCAUCGAAUUGAGCCACAUGCUCCGCCGCUUGUGCGGGUCCCCGUCAAUUCCUUUGAGUUUUAGCCUUGCGGCCGUACUCCCCAGGCGGGGUGCUUAAUGCGUUAGCUCCGGCACGGAAUCCGUCGAUAGGACCCCACACCUAGCACCCAACGUUUACGGCUGGGACUAC